UAGGGAAUCUUCGGCAAUGGACGAAAGUCUGACCGAGCAACGCCGCGUGAGUGAAGAAGGUUUUCGGAUCGUAAAACUCUGUUGUUAGAGAAGAACAAGGACGUUAGUAACUGAACGUCCCCUGACGGUAUCUAACCAGAAAGCAACGGCUAACUACGUGCCAGCAGCCGCGGUAAUACGUAGGUGGCAAGCGUUGUCCGGAUUUAUUGGGCGUAAAGCGAGCGCAGGCGGUUUCUUAAGUCUGAUGUGAAAGCCCCCGGCUCAACCGGGGAGGGUGAUUGGAAACUGGGAGACUUGAGUGGAGAAGAGGAGAGUGGAAUUCCAUGUGUAGCGGUGAAAUGCGUAGAUAUAGGGAGGAACACCAGUGGCGAAGGCGGCUCGCUGGUCUGUAACUGACGCUGAGGCUCGAAAGCGUGGGGAGCAAACAGG
This 429-nucleotide ribosomal RNA is filed under the name Gemmatimonadota bacterium. Its description in RNAcentral is "Gemmatimonadetes bacterium partial 16S ribosomal RNA". It matches the Rfam family "Bacterial small subunit ribosomal RNA", at positions 355 to 776 of the family's 1533-position model. Lineage: Bacteria; Pseudomonadati; Gemmatimonadota. The record is from RNAcentral.